CAGCAGCCGCGGUAAUACGAAGGGGGCUAGCGUUGUUCGGAUUUACUGGGCGUAAAGCGCACGUAGGCGGAUCUUUAAGUCAGGGGUGAAAUGCCGGGGCUCAACCCCGGAACUGCCUUUGAUACUGGGGAUCUCGAGUCCGGGAGAGGUGAGCGGAACUGCGAGUGUAGAGGUGAAACUCGUAGAUAUUCGCAAGAACACCAGUGGCGAGGGCGGCUCACUGGCCCGGUACUGACGCUGAGGUGCGAAAGCGUGGGGAGCAAACAGGACUAGAUACCCUGCUACUCCACGCCCUAAACGAUGGAUGCUAGCCGCUAGGCAGCUUGCUGCCUAG
RNAcentral lists this ribosomal RNA (334 nucleotides) under uncultured bacterium. Its description in RNAcentral is "bacterial SSU rRNA". It matches the Rfam family "Bacterial small subunit ribosomal RNA", at positions 509 to 843 of the family's 1533-position model. The record is from RNAcentral.